AUUGAACGCUGGCGGCAUGCCUUACACAUGCAAGUCGAACGGCAGCACGGGAGCAAUCCUGGUGGCGAGUGGCGAACGGGUGAGUAAUAUAUCGGAACGUGCCCGGUCGUGGGGAUAACGUAGCGAAAGCUACGCUAAUACCGCAUACGAUCUACGGAUGAAAGCGGGGGAUCGCAAGACCUCGCGCGAUUGGAGCGGCCGAUAUCAGAUUAGGUAGUUGGUGAGGUAAAGGCUCACCAAGCCGACGAUCUGUAGCUGGUCUGAGAGGACGACCAGCCACACUGGGACUGAGACACGGCCCAGACUCCUACGGGAGCAGCAGUGGGAAUUUGGACAAUGGGCGCAAGCCUGAUCCAGCAAUGCCGCGUGCAGGAUGAAGGCCUU
This 384-nucleotide ribosomal RNA is filed under the name uncultured bacterium. RNAcentral describes it as "bacterial SSU rRNA". It matches the Rfam family "Bacterial small subunit ribosomal RNA", at positions 30 to 418 of the family's 1533-position model. The record is from RNAcentral.